RNAcentral lists this ribosomal RNA (269 nucleotides) under uncultured prokaryote. Its description in RNAcentral is "partial 16S ribosomal RNA". It matches the Rfam family "Bacterial small subunit ribosomal RNA", at positions 524 to 792 of the family's 1533-position model. The record is from RNAcentral.
UACGGGGGGUGCAAGCGUUGUUCGGAUUUACUGGGCGUAAAGGGCGCGUAGGCGGACUAACAAGUCAGAUGUGAAAACUAUGGGCUUAACCCAUAGCCUGCAUUUGAAACUGUUAGUCUUGAGUACAGGAGAGGAAAGCGGAAUUCCAGGUGUAGCGGUGAAAUGCGUAGAUAUCUGGAAGAACACCAGUAGCGAAGGCGGCUUUCUGGACUGAUACUGACGCUAAAGCGCGAAGGCUUGGGUAGCAAACAGGAUUAGAUACCCCUGUA